This 497-nucleotide ribosomal RNA is filed under the name uncultured bacterium. RNAcentral describes it as "partial 16S ribosomal RNA". It matches the Rfam family "Bacterial small subunit ribosomal RNA", at positions 28 to 507 of the family's 1533-position model. The record is from RNAcentral.
GACGAACGCUGGCGGCGUGCCUAAUACAUGCAAGUUGAGCGCUGAAGGUUGGUACUUGUACCUACUGGAUGAGCAGCGAACGGGUGAGUAACGCGUGGGGAAUCUGCCUUUGAGCGGGGGACAACAUUUGGAAACGAAUGCUAAUACCGCAUAAAAACUUUAAACACAAGUUUUAAGUUUGAAAGAUGCAAUUGCAUCACUCAAAGAUGAUCCCGCGUUGUAUUAGCUAGUUGGUGAGGUAAAGGCUCACCAAGGCGAUGAUACAUAGCCGACCUGAGAGGGUGAUCGGCCACAUUGGGACUGAGACACGGCCCAAACUCCUAAGGGAGGCAGCAGUAGGGAAUCUUCGGCAAUGGACGAAAGUCUGACCGAGCAACGCCGCGGGAGGGAAGAAGGGUUUCGGAUCGUAAAACUCUGUUGGUAGAGAAGAACGUUGGUGAGAGUGGAAAGCUCAUCAAGUGACGGUAACUACCCAGAAAGGGACGGCUAACUACGUG